GGGGAUGAAAGGAUUUCGACGGGGACUUUGAUCCUAUGUAAGCGAGCAGCGGUGCGGGACCGCUAUAAAAUCCGCAAGCUUAAAAUUAAACGACAACAAUACUGUUGAAUUAGCUGCUGCUUAAAGCAGCUCGUCCUAGCCGGGAGUACCGCGGCUCGGUGAAGGGCGUCGAUUAGCGGUGAACGUGAACGGAGGAGUAGCCUUGCAAUCCGUCAUGAAUAAAAGGAUACCGAAGCGGUGAGCCUGACGAUCGGCGCGCCGACGGGGGAAGCUUAAAAGACCGCCUACGCUCGUAGAAAGCAUAGAGGAGGGGUUUUCGGACGCGGUUUCGAUUACCGCCAUCUCCACCA
This 350-nucleotide transfer-messenger RNA is filed under the name Acutalibacteraceae. Its description in RNAcentral is "CAG-488 sp900539465 Standard tmRNA". It matches the Rfam family "transfer-messenger RNA". Rfam says of the family: Bacterial tmRNA, also known as 10Sa RNA or SsrA, is named for its dual tRNA and mRNA-like properties. Its role is to liberate the mRNA from a stalled ribosome. RNAcentral also lists the same sequence under 1 other name. The record is from RNAcentral. Lineage: Bacteria; Bacillati; Bacillota; Clostridia; Eubacteriales.